UAUUUGGCCAUAGAAAAGCCAUGUGAGUGAGUAAGGGGUGUUUGGCCUAGCUUUAAUUUAAAAAGCGCUUUUGGGUUGAAAAGUAAUUUUCUGCUCAAUAGAGUGUUUGGCAACUCAUUUUUAAAAUCUGAUUCUGUUUUUUAAAAUCAGAAAAGUAAUUUUGAAGGCCACAGAAUCAAAAGCAGAAAAAAGUUUCUUCUUGAAAUCUGAUUUAAAUUUUGAAUUUAAACUUCAAAUUUUUAUUUUUAUUUUAAUUUCAAUAUUUAAAUUUAACU
RNAcentral lists this long non-coding RNA (275 nucleotides) under Ananas comosus (pineapple). RNAcentral describes it as "long non-coding RNA (ACOM_LNC016035)". Lineage: Eukaryota; Viridiplantae; Streptophyta; Magnoliopsida; Poales; Bromeliaceae. The record is from RNAcentral.